GAGGAAGAAAAGUCUCUUAUUAAUUAUACAAUAUAAUAUAAAACAAAUAAACAAAAUAUGGGAAAAUCAAAACCAACUUUCUUAGCCACAAAAAGAAGAGGAAAAACAUUUUGACCUACUCUGCUUCUUAGAAGUUCAACGCAAGCAAUUUUUUUUUUUUUUUUUUUGUGAUUCUCGUCUUCUCCAACACACAUAGAGUUGGAUUCCACAAGCUAGACCAGUGCCUUUUUUGAAGAAAACUUGGUUGGGAUUCUUGUUCUUUAUAAUUGGAAGUUUCAAGUUGAAGAAAAUAUGCUCAAAAUCCAGGUGGAUAUGUUUCAUAAUGUACAUGUGAUGAUUGUUUGCUUCGAUUAAUUGUGGAGGAUGAAAAGAAAAUUGAUCAAAUCAAGAAAUGCUUACAGAGAUUGGGGAGGAAGUAUGUAGACUCAAAUAUGUAGUUUUUGUUUUUUAAUGCAAUAUUUACAAUGCACCCCUUUUUUUCCUUCGUUUGGGAUUUUGUCUCAUUGGAUUUUCCCCAAACAAAGUUUUAAUGAGGCCCCAAAGGGUUCUUCCUUAUCUUUUAUAAAUUUUUAUCAUUUUAAUUAAUUAGUUUUUUUUUUUUUUUGUUUAAUUUGUAUAAAGGGGCACACUUGAGAAAAUUUGCCCUGGGCCUUAGAAAACCCAGGCUCUGUAGACAUGCCUUCUAUAUUCUACUGGUAGCGUCAUAUUUUAGUCAUAUUUCAGUUUGUGUAGCAUGCAAGUAAAAGUUGUUUUGCAGGUAUGGACGAAUUUGCGCAUGCCUAAGGGAAAGCAGUUUCUCAUUCCUAUCUGCGGUUAUCCUAAGCCUAAUUAAAAAAGCCACAGAAAGUGUAGGAUUGAGGUUGAUGAAAAUCCAGGCUUAGUAUCAAAAACAGAUAAUGAGAAAAAGAAUAAGAAGAAGUCAUUGAAUAAGGUAUAUAUCCAUGUAGGCUCCUAGCUUGCACUGUGCUCCAAAGUCUUGUGGACAUAACCGGUAAAAGAGUUGUGGGGAGAAGAAAUCAAUGGGGGCUUGUACAUCACACUGUUAAUCUUUUUGCCGAAUGGGUGCUGAACCAGUUUAUUUUUUUCUUCUUCAAUUUUCUUUUUUGUUGCGUAGAUGAGAUGGUUGAAAAGUCUAACAACAGCUGAUAUUGUGAAUUUUAGACAACCUACAAAAUGGUAAUUAUAAAGAUUAGUCUAAACACAAAUUAUACUCGUAAGUGCACAAGGUCAAUCGUAAUUUAGUAUGGUAAAUACGAGGUCAUUCUCACGAGGAUUGAGUUCAA
Molecule: long non-coding RNA, 1283 nt
Organism: Prunus persica (peach)
Lineage: Eukaryota; Viridiplantae; Streptophyta; Magnoliopsida; Rosales; Rosaceae
Exons: 3
Source: RefSeq, a predicted model, not a curated record